AUUGAACGCUGGCGGCAUGCCUAACACAUGCAAGUCGAACGGAGAUAGGGGCAACCUUAUUUCAGUGGCGGACGGGUGAGGAAUGCGUCGGAAUCUGCCCUAUGGUGGGGGAUAACACAGGGAAACUUGUGCUAAUACCGCAUAAUGUCGAGAGACCAAAGCAGGGGACCGCAAGGCCUUGCGCGAUAGGAUGAGCCGACGCCCGAUUAGCUAGUUGGUAGGGUAAAGGCCUACCAAGGCGACGAUCGGUAGCUGGUCUGAGAGGAUGAUCAGCCACACUGGGACUGAGACACGGCCCAGACUCCUACGGGAGGCAGCAGUGGGGAAUAUUGGACAAUGGGCGCAAGCCUGAUCCAGCAAUGCCGCGUGUGUGAAGAAGGCCUGCGGGUUGUAAAGCACUUUUGUUCGGGAAGAAAUCAUGCUGGUUAAUACCUGGUAUGGAUGACGGUACCGAAGAAUAAGCACCGGCUAACUUCGUGCCAGCA
Molecule: ribosomal RNA, 485 nt
Filed under: uncultured bacterium
Lineage: Bacteria
Description: bacterial SSU rRNA
Rfam family: Bacterial small subunit ribosomal RNA
Source: RNAcentral